AUGGGCGAGGCCGACCACUACAGGACGCUGGGGCUCCGGUGAGAUGCCAGCAAAGCCGAGGUCAAGGCCGCAUUCUCCCGCCUCGCCCUCCUCCACCACCCCGACCGCCACGCCCAGGCCGACGCCGCCACCCGCGCUGACGCCACCCGCCGCUUCCGCCAGGUGUACGACGCCUACCACGUCCUCUACGAUGACCACCGCCGCGCCGAGUAUGACCUCUGCACCUCCUCGGCUUGGAGCGGCUUCAGUCACGGCGGCGCCAAGUCCCGCUCCUCCUCGGCCUCGGGUGGCUACGGGCAUGGCGGGGCCUCCUCUUCGCCUUCGGGUCGCUACGGGUACCCACACGGACGCGGCGGCGAUUUUCAGGACUGGCCAUCUCCGAGGGAAGGCGAAAGUCUGGGCGUUUGGAUGAGAGCCAAUUGGUACCCCUUGCUCUGCUGCACCAUGAGGAUCGCAAAAGUUGUAAUAGAUGGCUGGAAGCUGUAUAAUACCUGGGUAAGUAAACAACCCCUCAACCUCUAA
RNAcentral lists this ribosomal RNA (522 nucleotides) under Triticum aestivum (bread wheat). Its description in RNAcentral is "partial small subunit ribosomal RNA". The record is from RNAcentral. Lineage: Eukaryota; Viridiplantae; Streptophyta; Magnoliopsida; Poales; Poaceae.